RNAcentral lists this small RNA (148 nucleotides) under Pongo abelii (Sumatran orangutan). Its description in RNAcentral is "Metazoan signal recognition particle RNA (ENSPPYG00000037867.1)". It matches the Rfam family "Metazoan signal recognition particle RNA". From Rfam's summary of the family: The signal recognition particle (SRP) is a universally conserved ribonucleoprotein. It is involved in the co-translational targeting of proteins to membranes. Lineage: Eukaryota; Metazoa; Chordata; Mammalia; Primates; Hominidae. The record is from Rfam by way of RNAcentral.
GCCGGGCGUGGUGGCGCAUGCCUGUAAUCUCAGCUACUCAGGAGGCUGAGGCAAGAGAAUCACUUGAACCCGGGAGGCGGAGGUUGCAGUGGGCCUAGAUCGCGCCACUGCACUCCAGCCUGGGUGACAGAGUGAGAUUCUGCCUCCA